UUCGAUUAACGCGAAGAACCUUACCUCGACUUGACAUGCAUGUGGUACCAACCUGAAAGGGAAGGGACUCGCAAGAGAGCAUGCACAGAUGCUGCAUGGCUGUCGUCAGCUCGUGCCGUGAGGUGUUGGGUUAAGUCCCGCAACGAGCGCAACCCUUGUCCUUAGUUGCCUUCUCUAAGGAGACCGCCGGUCUAAACCGGAGGAAGGUGGGGAUGACGUCAAGUCAGCACGGCUCUUACGUCGAGGGCUACACACACGCUACAAUGGCCGGUACAACGGGCUGCUAAGGGGCGACCUGGAGCUAAUCCCACCAAAGCCGGUCUCAGUUCGGAUUGCAGGCUGCAACUCGCCUGCAUGAAGUCGGAGUUGCUAGUAACUGCUGGUCAGCACACAGCGGUGAAUACGUUCCCGGGCCUUGUCACACCGAAUCACUA
Molecule: ribosomal RNA, 434 nt
Filed under: uncultured soil bacterium
Lineage: Bacteria
Description: bacterial SSU rRNA
Rfam family: Bacterial small subunit ribosomal RNA
Source: RNAcentral